This is a long non-coding RNA of Papaver somniferum (opium poppy), 687 nucleotides long. RefSeq lists it as uncharacterized. The transcript is spliced from 4 exons. Lineage: Eukaryota; Viridiplantae; Streptophyta; Magnoliopsida; Ranunculales; Papaveraceae. The record is from RefSeq and is a predicted model, not a curated record.
CUCUCAAGGCUUUGAUUCUGCUCGGAAAAAGGAGACUCCCUAACUCUAAUCAACUUUCAGGAAAUCAAGAGAGUUUGAUUAUAAGAACAAGCACAUGAGAGGCAGGCUGAAUAACUCAAUAAUUCCUUACUCAAAUGUUUUAUUUGCUUUCUUCAUACCUUUUACCUCCAAUCAAACAGGUUCUUUUUUUUUUUCCAGUGGACCACAGAGUAUUUCAGCAAAUUAAGGGCUUCAAGUACACGGGCUUGAUGGUUCAGUCUUCAGCAAAACAAGAUGAAAGUAAGAGACAGGUGAACUUCAUUGACAAAGUGUUAAAUUUUUGUGAUCAAGUGUUGUUUAUAUUGGGAUUGUGGACCAGUAUACUGUUUUUUCCAAUGGUUGGCUUCUGCUCUAAAAAGGAGUUUCCCUAACUCUAGGAAAGACUAUGCGCCACUUAGGGCUGCCCGACAUUUAGGCAUUCUGCGUCUAUUUGGUGUAGAAAAUCAAGCUAUUUUCACCAAAACCUUGAGAAUGCAAUGGAAAAAAAUUGUUGAAAAAUUAAGCACAAAAAUAGGAAGUACAUAUGUUUUGGUAUGUCUUGUAACAUACAUUAAUUUGUUUUCCAUUGGUAUCAAUAAUGCAGUAUCAAAGCUCAGUAAAUUUGUAUCCAGACAAAACCAUUAGAUACUGUAGAUGUUAGAUAGUAAA